RNAcentral lists this ribosomal RNA (448 nucleotides) under uncultured bacterium. RNAcentral describes it as "bacterial SSU rRNA". It matches the Rfam family "Bacterial small subunit ribosomal RNA", at positions 331 to 793 of the family's 1533-position model. The record is from RNAcentral.
CCAGACUCCUACGGGAGGCAGCAGUGGGGAAUAUUGCACAAUGGGGGAAACCCUGAUGCAGCAACGCCGCGUGAAGGAAGACGGUUUUCGGAUUGUAAACUUCUAUCAAUAGGGAAGAAAGAAAUGACGGUACCUAAAUAAGAAGCCCCGGCUAACUACGUGCCAGCAGCCGCGGUAAUACGUAGGGGGCAAGCGUUGUCCGGAAUCAUUGGGCGUAAAGAGUUCGUAGGCGGCACGUAAAGUCUGGUGUUAAAGGCAGAGGCUCAACUUCUGUACGGCACUGGAUACUUGCGAGCUAGAAUGCGGUAGAGGUAAAGGGAAUUCCUGGUGUAGCGGUGAAAUGCUUAGAUAUCAGGAGGAACAUCGGUGGCGUAAGCGCUUUACUGGGCCGUAAUUGACGCUGAGGAACGAAAGCCAGGGUAGCAAAUGGGAUUAGAUACCCCAGUAA